AAGACUAUACUUUCAGGGAUCAUUUCUAUAGUUUAUUACUAGAGAAGUUUCUCUGAACGUGUAGAGCACCGGAAACCACGAGGAGGAAGCGCAGUGUUUGUCUCCUGAGCGUGAAGCUGGCGUUUGGUAUCGCUUCGUUUGCGACUGCCUUUUGCCAUUGAUGAUCCUUCUUUUCUUCCUUUGGGAGAAUAGGAGGGAGAGAACGCAGUCUGAGUGGCU
Small nucleolar RNA from Rhinopithecus roxellana (golden snub-nosed monkey), 219 nucleotides. Lineage: Eukaryota; Metazoa; Chordata; Mammalia; Primates; Cercopithecidae. The record is from Ensembl.